CGUAGGUGGCAAGCGUUGUCCGGAUUUAUGGGUUUAAAGGGUGCGUAGGCGGCUUUGUAAGUCAGUGGUGAAAUAUGGCAGCUCAACUGUCAGGGUGCCAUUGAUACUGCGGAGCUUGAGUACAGAUGAGGUAGGCGGAAUUGACGGUGUAGCGGUGAAAUGCUUAGAUAUCGUCAAGAACACCGAUAGCGAAGGCAGCUUACUGGGCUGUAACUGACGCUGAGGCACGAAAGUGUGGGGAUCAAACAGGAUUAGAUACCCUGGUAGUCCACACUGUAAACGUUGAUGACUCGCUGUUGGCGAUACACGGCCAGCGGCAGAGAGAAAUCGUUAAGUCAUCCACCUGGGGAGUACGCCGGCAACGGUG
This 367-nucleotide ribosomal RNA is filed under the name uncultured organism. RNAcentral's name for it is "bacterial SSU rRNA". It matches the Rfam family "Bacterial small subunit ribosomal RNA", at positions 526 to 896 of the family's 1533-position model. The record is from RNAcentral.